AGCGGCGAACGGGUGAGUAACACGUAGGUCAUCUGCCCAUCAGACGGGGACAACGAUUGGAAACGAUCGCUAAUACCGGAUAGGACGAAAGUUUAGAGGCGCUUCUGGCACCGCUGAUGGAUGAGCCUGCGGCGCAUUAGCUAGUUGGUAGGGUAAAGGCCUACCAAGGCGACGAUGCGUAGCCGACCUGAGAGGGUGAACGGCCACACUGGGACUGAGACACGGCCCAGACUCCUACGGGAGGCAGCAGUAGGGAAUCUUCGGCAAUGGGCGAAAGCCUGACCGAGCAACGCCGCGUGAAUGAUGAAGGCCUUCGGGUUGUAAAAUUCUGUUAUAAGGGAAGAACGACUUUAGUAGGAAAUGGCUAGAGUGUGACGGUACCUUAUGAGAAAGCCACGGCUAACUACGUGCCAGCAGCCGCGGUAAUACGUAGGUGGCGAGCGUUAUCCGGAAUUAUUGGGCGUAAAGAGCGCGCAGGUGGUUGAUUAAGUCUGAUGUGAAAGCCCACGGCUUAACCGUGGAGGGUCAUUGGAAACUGGUCGACCUGAGUGCAGAAGAGGGAAGUGGAAUUCCAUGUGUAGCGGUGAAAUGCGUAGAGAUAUGGAGGAACACCAGUGGCGAAGGCGGCUUCCUGGUCUGUAACUGACACUGAGGCGCGAAAGCGUGGGGAGCAAACAGGAUUAGAUACCCUGGUAGUCCACGCCGUAAACGAUGAGUGCUAAGUGU
This 726-nucleotide ribosomal RNA is filed under the name uncultured bacterium. RNAcentral describes it as "bacterial SSU rRNA". It matches the Rfam family "Bacterial small subunit ribosomal RNA", at positions 94 to 823 of the family's 1533-position model. The record is from RNAcentral.